CGACCUUCUUCCACCUUGAAACAAUGAUAAACUUUAUGUGAUUUUGAUUGAUUCUUUGCAUGUUAACAUGGUAUCAGAGCAGCGAUCUUGCUUGAUCUCGUUGUCCUCUCCUCUCCGGUAUUACCCGCUCCUGUUUUGACUGGGUUUUUUUUGGUCUCUGAAUAUGGUUAUUUUGCUGUUUUGGGGGUUUCUCUCGCUGUUUGAAGGAGCUCGUAAUUGCUAAAGUCAAUUGUUGUGUAUUCUUCACUCUAGAAGGCCGUGUUUUCCGGUUGCGAAAACUCCGGUAAUUUUGUUCUUUUCUCUCUGAUUUUGCGUGCUAGGGUUUGGGUGUGUGAUGUUUUGUGUUAAUCGCCUAUUUUUUCAUGGCUCCGACUGAUAAUGAUAUCAGCAGUACCUCUGGUUGUCGUGAACAGUCUGAAUUUAUCCCUAAGCCCUCAAGUCCUAUUUUUCUUCACUCUUCCGAUAUACCUGGUCUUUCCUUAGUUCCUGUACCUUUCUCAGGAUCUGGUUUUGGAGGAUGGAGAAGGAGCAUUAUUGUGUCAUUGUCUGGUAGAAAUAAAAUUGAAUUCAUCGAUGGUACCUUGCCUAGACCUUCCCCUAAUUCACCUGAGUCUAAGCAUUGGGAUAGAUGUAAUAACAAAGUAAUUUUCUGGUUAACUAGCUCUUUGUCUUUCAGUAUUGCUGAGAGUGUUCAGUACUCUGAGACAGCUGAAGACAUAUGGAAACAAUUAAAUAGAAGAUAUGAGACUAUAAAUGGGACUAAGGUUUUUGAGAUUAAGAAGGAACUAGCCUCCACUAACCAGGGUUCUCUCGACAUUGCCUCUUAUUUCAACAAGUUGAAGAAGUUAUGGGAUGAACUAAGAGUCAUGCGCACUUGUCAUGGUAGCACUUGUACCUCUGCUGUUAAGGCUGGUAUCCAGAAAGAGGAGGAAGAGGAUAGGCUGCAUCAGUUUCUCAUGGGUCUGAAUGACACUUAUAUCAGUGUCAGGAGUAAUCUUCUUAUGAUGCAGCCACCUCCUUCCUUGGACAGUGCAUAUAACAUUCUCCUUCAGGAUGAGAGACAAAGGCAGAUCAAUCCUUCCUCUCAAUUCAAUCCCGAGUCGACUUCUUUCAAUGUAACAUCCCUUAACCAUUCUUGACCAUUACAACCUCAAAAGCACUACUCUCAAAAAGUAUCUUUUGAUUCAAGUAGAGCAACUCAGUUUUGCAAAUAUUGUAAGAAGAGUGGUCAUUUAAUUGAAAAGUGCUAUAAGUUGCAUGGAUUCCCACCUGCUUUCAAGUUCACUAAUGGUAGGAAGAUGGCUGCAAAUGUUGAGGUUGACAUAUCCUCUAGCAAUGAGUCACAUGCCUCUGCACCUCCUAAUCAGAAUGAGGGUGGUUCUCUGGUACCUGGACUUACUAAGGAGCAGUAUGUUCAGCUCAUGUCUAUGUUGCAACACACUCUUGUGUCUGAAUCUCCUUCUUCUCAUACAAAUCUUAUGGCAUCUACAAAUUUUGCUGGUAAUGUUCCUUUGACUGCUUGUGUAGAAGUGCGUUACAGUGCAUCUCUGUUAAGUAGGGUAGCUGAAUAUAGUUGGAUUUUAGAUUCUGGAGCCACACAUCACAUGACUUCACACAAAGACCUUCUUUCUAACAUCCAACCUCUAGUUAUUCCUUAUCUUGUUACCCUUCCCAAUGGUUAUAAGGUGAAAGUAAAUUGCACAGGUUCUCUUAAAUUAUUUGCUUUUACUUUGCAUCAUGUCCUUUAUGUUUCCACUUUUCACUACAAUCUUAUUUUUGUUUCUCAGUUAGUCAUUCAACUUCAUGGCAUGGUUCAAUUUACUUCACUUUCAUGUAUCCUACAGGCCCCUUCACUGAAGAGUCCACUGGAAGUUAGUAAAUUGGAACAUGGACUUUACAGGCUUCUGAUGACUCCUCCUCAGUGUAGUAAUUCUGCUUCACACUGCUACACUUCAGUAUCUGAUAGUUUACCUUCUGUUUCCAGUGUUGUUUCACGUUGUAAAUGCCCAUUUAUUGUUUCUGAUUCUUCCUCUAUAUGCAUUCCAUCUACCAUGCAUUGUAAAAAUCAUUCUGGCAUCAAUAAAGAGGAAAUGUUAUGGCAUCAAAGAUUUGGUCACAUUCCUUUUGUUAGACUAAGAGACAUUUCUGGUAUCCCUUAUGUUUUCUCUUCAAAGCAAUCAUUUGUUUGUUCUAUUUGUCCUAUGGCUAGACAGUCCCGACUUCUUUUCCCUGAUAGUAGCAUUAAGUCAUCCCAUCCAUUUCAACUGAUUCAUGUUGACACAUGGGGGGGACCUUACUCUACUCCCACCUACAAUGGCUUUAAAUACUUUCUUACUAUAGUUGAUGACUUCUCUAGAGCAACUUGGACACAUCUUAUGGGUUCUAAAAACAAUGCAUUCCCCUUGCUUAAAGCACUUAUUGCAUUGGUCCAUACCCAAUUUUCUACCAAAGUUCAAUCUGUUAGGAGUGACAAUGCAUUAGAACUUGGUUCCAGUAAUCUUGCUACUCAAUUGUUUAGGGAUCAGGGGAUAAUACAUCAAAUUAGUUGCUCACAUACACCUCAGCAGAAUGGUGUAGUUGAAAGGAAGUAUAAAUAUCUGCUUGAAACUUCUAGGGGCCUACUUUUUUCAGUCCAAAUUACCUCUCAAAUUUUGGGGGGAGUGUGUCCUCACUUCUACCUAUCUUAUCAAUAGGUUUCCUUCCAAGCUCCUCCAGAAUAAAUCUCCUUUUGAACUACUCUAUGGUACUCCCCCUUCCUACUCACAUAUCAGAACAUUUGGCUGUCUCUGUUUUCAUACUAUUCCCAAAUGUCAUAAGAAUAAGUUGCAAGCUAGGGUCGAACCCUGUGUCUUCCUUAGGUACCCUCUUGGUAAGAAAGGCUACAAGUUGUUUAACCUUUCUACUAGGCAAGUCUUUGUUUCCAGGGAUGUCAUAUUCCAUGAACACCUCUUUCCUUUUGAUGCUUCUACACUUUCCUCUCUUGGUCCUUCACCUCCUAUUUUCUCUUCUCAUGUUCACUUCUCUCCUUCUAAUUCUUCCCCUGCUCAUUAUGAUUCUCCAAGUUCUCCUUCUGCUUCUAUUCCCUCUCUUAUUUCCUCUACCUUAGUUGCUCCUCAUGUCCAGACACCUUCUCCCCUUAUCCAACCUACUAUAAAAUCUGCUAGAACUCAUCAGCCUCCUGCUCAUCUUGCAGACUUUGUUUGUGACUUUCCUCCCUCCUUGGCUAGCUCCAGUUCUUUAUCCUCUAUAGUACAGUAUUUUGCUAAUAGUGCUGCCAUUGAGCCUCAAUUCUAUCAUCAAGUUGUUUCAAUUCCAGCUUGGCAAGAAACCAUGAAAAAGGAGUUUGAGGCUCUUGAAGCCAACAAUACUUGGAUGAUUGUUGAAUUACCUGAAGGUAAAAAACCUAUUGGCUGCAAAUGGGUAUAUAAAAUCAAAUAUCGAGCUGAUGGUAGUGUUGAAAGAUAUAAAGGUAGGUUAGUGGUAAGAGGAUAUACUCAAGUAGAGGGAGUGGAUUUUACUGAACCUUCUCUCCUGUUAUUAAAUUUUCCACUGUUAAAUGUCUGGUGGUUGUGGCAGUUAAGAAGAGGUGGUCUCUUUUCCAACUUGAUGUGAAUAAUGCUUUCUUGCAUGGUAAUCUAGAUGAGGAGGUCUACGUGAAAUUGCCUCCUGGUUUGUCUGUUUCUUCUUCUUCUUCUUCUUCCUCUCCUUUGGUAUGCAAGCUUCAAAAAUCUUUAUAUGGGCUUAGGCAGGCUUCUCGGCAGUGGUAUGCUAAGUUGUAUCUUGCCUUGUGCUCUAGGGGUUAAACACAUUCUUUGAAUGACUAUUCUCUAUUUUUCAAAAAAUAUGUCUCUUUUAUUAUGUUGUUGGUUGUCUGUGUUGUUGAUAUUAUUUUAACGGGUGAUGAUGAGGCUGAGAUACUUGCUUUAAAAGCCUUUUUGGAUGGUUAUUUUAAGAUCAAGGACUUGGGUACCUUGAAUUAUUUCCUGGGCAUUUAAGUGACCUAUUUCCCUUCUGGUUUACUUCUCCAUCAACAUAAGGUUAUCUCUGUUCAGUUCUGAGGCUGCCCAUGUUGUCUCUCCUUUGGAUCUCACUCAAAAACUUAAGGCUGGUGUUGGUGAUCUGUUACCUAAACUUGAACAGUUUCGGAGUUUGAUUGGAAAGCUCAAUUUCCUUACACACAUCAGACCUGACUUGUGCUUUGCAGUCCAGCACUUAAGCCAGUUUCUUCAAUCUCCGAGGCUUCCUCAUAUGGUUGUUGCUCUUCAUAUUCUGAGGUAUUUGAAAGGCACAUAUGACAUGGGGGUUUUCUUUGAAGACUCUUCUGAUUUGUCCCUAACUGCCUAUUGUGAUAGUGAUUGGGCAGCUUGCCCUGACACACGAAGAUCCGUUACUGGUUUUAGCAUUUUCUUGGGGGGUUCCCUCAUUGGUUGGAAGUCUAAGAAGCAACCAGUAGUUUCACUUUCUUCCGCAGAAGCCGAAUACAGUGCUGUUAGUAAAGUUGUUGCAGAGCUUGCUUAGGUUGCCCGCUUGCUUGAUGAUCUGCAUGUCUUUGUUGCUUCUCCUGUGCCUGCUUUUUGUGAUAAUCAGGCAGCUAUUCACAUUGCUCGCAAUCCUGUUUUCCAUGAACGCACUAUACACAUAGAAGUGGACUGCCACUUUGUCCGUACCAAACUUGCUGCUGGGGACAUUCAGUUGUUUCAUGUGCCUACUACGGCUCGACUUGUUCACCAAGCCCCUCACUAGUGGUAUCCAUCAUGGGUUGAUGUCCAAGUUGGGCGUUGUAUCCCCGUCCAACUUGCGGGAGGUGUUGACGUAAUGAUCUCCAGUCGGAAGCCCAAAUUCAAACCAGUUGAUCGAGGCCCAUUAUAGUGUAGUAGCAUAUCUUAUUUAUGUACCAAUAUAUUAGAGAGCCCAAUGUAAUUUUCUAU
Molecule: long non-coding RNA, 4928 nt
Filed under: Nicotiana tabacum (common tobacco)
Lineage: Eukaryota; Viridiplantae; Streptophyta; Magnoliopsida; Solanales; Solanaceae
Description: long non-coding RNA (NTAB_LNC003482)
Source: RNAcentral